AUUCAGACUGUCUACACUGUGUAAAUCUGUUAUUCUCUCUGAACUCAGAAAUAAAGAAUCUUCGUUUGACUUAGACUCCAGCCGAUCCUCAUAUUAAAAUAUCCACCACACAUCCCUACGGUGAAUCGUGGUGGCAGCAUCAUGCUGUGGGGGAUGUUUUUCACCGUAGGAGUGGCUUCGGGACGAGUCUCGGAAUGUCCUUGAGUGGGCCAGCCAGAGCCCAGACUUGAACCCGAUCGAACAUCUCUGGAGAGACCUGAAAAUAUCUGUGCAGCGACGCUUCCCAUCCAACCUGACAGAACUUGAGAGGAUCUGCAGAGAAGAUUGGGAGAAACUCUCCAAAUACAGGAAAAGGGAUAAGGAAAGAACAGUGUUUCUGACCUGUAUUCUGUUGGAAGACUCAGCGAUUGAACCCCUGCUACUCGUCAUGGAACAGAUAAAGUCAUUUAUUUUACAGUUCAACCUGCCCAGAGGUCCACAUGAAGGAAAAGCAACUUAUGUUGGGACAGUUUUACUCGCUAUUUUUUUAUUUAACCUUUUUAACUAGGCAAGUCAGUUAAGAACAAAUUCCUAUUUACAAUGACUGCCUUGGAACAGUGGGUUCUGCCUGCUAACCUGGGCUUCAGAGCACUGGUCAUCUCCCCAACUAGAGAACUGGCCAGCCAGAUACACACACACUCACCUUAAAUAGCCAGCUAACCUGAGCUUUAUUUAGAACAGUGUUUCCCAACUCCAGUCCUCCAGUAUGCCCAAUAGCACACGUUUGUGUUACAGGCCCAGCUCCAACAGUAAUAUGGUUAGAAAUACAGGCCCAGCUCCCACAGUAAUAUGGUUAGAAAUACAGGCCCAGCUCCAACAGUAAUACGGGUAGAAAUACAGGCCCAGCUCCCACAGUAAUACGGUUAGAAAUACAGGCCCAGCUCCAACAGUAAUGCGGUUAGAAAUACAGGCCCAGCUCCCACAGUAAUACGGUUAGAAAUACAGGCCCAGCUCCCACAGUAAUACGGUUAGAAAUACAGGCCCAGCUCCAACAGUACUAUGGUAAGAAAUACAGGCCCAUCUACAACAAUAACUACAGUACGUAGGCAGGGAAUAUAUUCAAAUGAUAUGUAAAUACGUUGAGCUCUUUCUUUUUUCUCUCUCCCCUUUCUUACCCACCUCUCUCUCUCCCUGCCCUCCCCUCCUCCCUCCCCCUUUCACUCCCUACCUACUUCAUCUCCCACCCGCUCCUCCCUCCCCUCUCACUCCCAUUCCUACUUCCUCUCUCCCUUUCUUUUUUAUUUCUCUCUCUCUCCCUUCCCUCUCUUCCUCUUCCUCACAGCCAGGGGAAAGAAAACAGCAGUAAACAACUGUAUAGCUCUUUAUUCCACAGAAAUAAUAUUAUAUUGCGUAUGUUUUUAGAAACAGUGAUUUCAUUGUAUUCUUUGUUUUGUCGAAGUCAAUUAAGAACUAAUUCUUAUUUACAAUGACAACCUGUCCAGAGGUGGAGACAACAGUUAAAUAGAACAACACAACACACAGACAUCAGACAUUAAAAGAGGUCACCAUGACAGAUGCACAAGACAGAUAUACAUGGCAACAGUGCUUUCAUUGGUAGCAGUACUGCUAAAAACUCUACGCAUCUGAGGUGGAAUAGAUUUAGCAUUUAUUUGCAUAUUGUUGAAACCAUAGUGCUCGGCAGAUCUGUUGUUACUCAGACUUGUAGGAAAACCUCUGAGUUUGAGCACCUCGUUUGGUAGAUUUUGUAAUGUUAUUGAUCUUCAACCAGAUAUAAAGGAGAGGAGAAAACAUGAAGGGGAAAGAGGAAGGUGGAAGUCUCCGGGAUUGAACCCUUACCACUAGGAUUACAUCCUGAAUCCAGGAUGCAACGCUACCACUAGACCAAACUCAAACUAGUCAUGGAACAGAUAAAGUUAUUUUACAGUUCAACCUCCCCAGAGGUCCACAUGAAGAAAAAGCAAGAAUGAACACUCAAAUGAUCAACUUGACCAGGCAGUCCCAGAACCCCUCUCUGGAGAGACCAACCCUCCUCCCAGCAUCACCCCUCUUCCUGGUCCAGUCCAGUGUGUAGACAACCCCUCAGGUGAUCCUGGAGAGGUGGUCUAUGACACAGACACAUUUCCCAUCAGACAUCAGCCUCCUGGUCCAGUCCAGUGUGUAGACAACCCCUCAUCCGCCUCCUGUGAAAUGUAAAGUGUGACGGUUCAUCCUCCUAGAUCUAUCUGCUGCCUUACACACCAUGAACAAUCAGAUCCUCUCAUGGUUGGGUGCCUCAGGCUCUGCACACUCUUGGCUUGCAGAUUGUCAAAUAAACAAACAUUUUUGCUAAAAUGAUGAUUAUAUUAUUGAUUGAUUGACUAUGGCUUUUCAAAUCACCCCGUAUUGCUAUCUGCAAUGUUAGUUCUAGGCAAAUGUUGCAAUUCUUCAGCCAUUCCUGGACCUGUGACCAAAAACAAGCUACAUAUGGACAAUACCAAAAUAAAUGAUCCACUGACUGCCUCCUCUCAGCAAGAUCUGCAGAGCUUGGUUGCAAAUCAAAUCAAAUCAAAUCAAAUUUAUUUAUAUAGCCCUUCGUACAUCAGCUGAUAUCUCAAAGUGCUGUACAGAAACCCAGCCUAAAACCCCAAACAGCAAACAAUGCAGGUGUAAAAGCACGGUGGCUAGGAAAAACUCCCUAGAAAGGCCAAAACCUAGGAAGAAACCUAGAGAGGAACCGGGCUAUGUGGGGUGGCCAGUCCUCUUCUGGCUGUGCCGGGUAGAGAUUAUAACAGAACAUGACCAAGAUGUUCAAAUGUUCAUAAAUGACCAGCAUGGUCGAAUAAUAAUAAGGCAGAACAGUUGAAACUGGAGCAGCAGCAGUCAGGUGGAAUGGGGACAGCAAGGAGCCAUCAUGUCAGGUAGUCCUGGGGCACUGUCCUAGGGCUCAGGUCCUCCGAGAGAGAGAGAAAGAAAGAGAGAAUUAGAGAGAGCAUAUGUGGGGUGGCCAGUCCUCUUUUGGCUGUGCCGGGUGGAGAUUAUAACAGAACGUGGCCAAGAUGUUCAAAUGUUCAUAAAUGACUAGCAUGGUUGAAUAAUAGUAAGGCAGAACAGUUGAAACUGGAGCAAGAAUUCUGUAUAGUAAUUUAAAUUGAAAAAUGUAAAGCUUUGAAUCCAGCUUUGUUUUGCGUAUCAAUUCAUAAACAAUGUGUCAUGGAAUGGGUCGAAAAACAUCGAAAAUCUCUUCCCAACUAUUUUGCAAUUUAUAUGGCACAGCUAUCAGUGUUUUGGUCCUUAAAUGAAAUUGCUAUAUGUUUUAAUUUAUCACACUUUUCUUUAAUGCAGGGCCGACAUAUAAGUUCCUUACUUUUUUCUCCUUCUACUUGCCUCUUCCAUUUUUUGGUUGUAAUUUUGGGUAGAGCAGACAUUUCUAUAUGUGUGUGUUAACUGCAUGUGUAACAUAACUCCACCAGUCCUAUUUAUGAUAUCAUUCACUAAGAUUAUACCUUUUUUUUUCUUUGAAUAAUACGUUGUUUUUUUUAUUAUAAAUUAGCAUAUUCGAGUUUAACCACAAUAUUAGUUGUAUUAUUUGUUCUGUCUUUUCAGAUCGAUUAAACUGAAAUUGCAACCAA
Long non-coding RNA from Oncorhynchus keta (chum salmon), 3608 nucleotides. RefSeq lists it as uncharacterized. The transcript has 5 exons. NCBI's taxonomy places the organism in Eukaryota, Metazoa, Chordata, Actinopteri, Salmoniformes, Salmonidae. The record is from RefSeq and is a predicted model, not a curated record.